RNAcentral lists this ribosomal RNA (425 nucleotides) under uncultured bacterium. RNAcentral's name for it is "partial 16S ribosomal RNA". It matches the Rfam family "Bacterial small subunit ribosomal RNA", at positions 354 to 796 of the family's 1533-position model. The record is from RNAcentral.
GUGGGGAAUCUUGCGCAAUGGGCGAAAGCCUGACGCAGCCAUGCCGCGUGAAUGAUGAAGGUCUUAGGAUUGUAAAAUUCUUUCACCGGGGACGAUAAUGACUGUAGCCGGAGAAGAAGCCCCGGCUAACUUCGUGCCAGCAGCCGCGGUAAUACGAAGGGGGCUAGCGUUGCUCGGAUUUACUGGGCGUAAAGGGCGCGUAGGCGGACAUUUAAGUCAGGGGUGAAAUCCCGGGGCUCAACCUCGGAACUGCCUUUGAUACUGGGUGUCUUGAGUAUGAGAGAGGUGUGUGGAACUCCGAGUGUAGAGGUGAAAUUCGUAGAUAUUCGGAAGAACACCAGUGGCGAAGGCGACACACUGGCUCAUUACUGACGCUGAGGCGCGAAAGCGUGGGGAGCAAACAGGAUUAGAAACCCCAGUAGUCC